CAGGCCUAACACAUGCAAGUCGAACGAUGCUUUCGGGCAUAGUGGCGCACGGGUGCGUAACGCGUGGGAAUCUGCCCUUUGGUCUGGGAUAACUGUUGGAAACGACAGCUAAUACCGGAUGAUGACGUAAGUCCAAAGAUUUAUCGCCAGAGGAUGAGCCCGCGUCGGAUUAGCUAGUUGGUGGGGUAAAGGCCUACCAAGGCGACGAUCCGUAGCUGGUCUGAGAGGAUGAUCAGCCACACUGGGACUGAGACACGGCCCAGACUCCUACGGGAGGCAGCAGUGGGGAAUAUUGGACAAUGGGCGAAAGCCUGAUCCAGCAAUGCCGCGUGAGUGAUGAAGGCCUUAGGGUUGUAAAGCUCUUUUACCCGGGAUGAUAAUGACAGUACCGGGAGAAUAAGCUCCGGCUAACUCCGUGCCAGCAGCCGCGGUAAU
This 435-nucleotide ribosomal RNA is filed under the name uncultured bacterium. RNAcentral's name for it is "bacterial SSU rRNA". It matches the Rfam family "Bacterial small subunit ribosomal RNA", at positions 43 to 524 of the family's 1533-position model. The record is from RNAcentral.